CUAAGAUAACAUCUUCGANAAGAGCUAAAAGGACGCGCCGUAACCUUGACCGUGAUAAUGUAGCAUAAUCACUCGCCAUUUAAUUGAUGGAUAGUAUGAAUGGUUGAACGAAUAUUCCACUGUCUUAGAAAUAAUUAAAAGAAAUUGAAAUAAUAGUCAAGAUGCUAUUUAAAACUGUAAGACGAAAAGACCCUAUAGAGCUUAACUAUAAUUUCUAUAUAACAAUCAAAAUAGUAUUUUAAAAUUUAUAGAGAUUGGUAGUUUAGUUGGGGCGACUGUCUUCUAAAUAAAACGAAGACAAGCAAUAUUAAUAUUUAAUUUAUUGUAUAACUAAAUAGUUUAACAAUUACAAAAGUAGGCUAUAAUGACCCGUUAGACCCUUGAAAUAGGCCUAACGAUCAAUUAAUAAAAGCUACCUUAGGGAUAACAGGAUNNUUUCAUUUUAGAGUCCCAAUCGAAAAUGAAGUUUGUCACCUCUAUGUUGAAUUAAGAUAUCCUGAUAAUGCAGAAGUUAUCAAAGGUAGGUCUGUUCGACCUUUAAAAUCUUACAUGAUUUGAGUUCAUUCCGU
RNAcentral lists this ribosomal RNA (569 nucleotides) under Clytia sp. 3.1.16.19. RNAcentral's name for it is "partial large subunit ribosomal RNA". It matches the Rfam family "Bacterial large subunit ribosomal RNA", at positions 1896 to 2619 of the family's 2925-position model. The record is from RNAcentral. Lineage: Eukaryota; Metazoa; Cnidaria; Hydrozoa; Leptothecata; Clytiidae.